AAGUCCCGCAACGAGCGCAACCCCUACGUUUAGUUGCUAACGCGUGAAGGCGAGCACUCUAGACGAACUGCCGUUGACAAAACGGAGGAAGGUGGGGAUGACGUCAAAUCAUCAUGCCCCUUAUGUUCUGGGCUACACACGUGCUACAAUGGCCGGUACAGACGGACGCAAAGCCGCGAGGCGGAGCAAAUCCGAAAAAGCCGGUCUCAGUUCGGAUUGCAGGCUGCAAUUCGCCUGCAUGAAGUCGGAAUCGCUAGUAAUCGCAGGUCAGCAUACUGCGGUGAAUACGUUCCCGGGCCUU
RNAcentral lists this ribosomal RNA (301 nucleotides) under uncultured Pelotomaculum sp. RNAcentral's name for it is "bacterial SSU rRNA". It matches the Rfam family "Bacterial small subunit ribosomal RNA", at positions 1082 to 1382 of the family's 1533-position model. The record is from RNAcentral. Lineage: Bacteria; Bacillati; Bacillota; Clostridia; Eubacteriales; Desulfotomaculaceae.